AAAAAAGUGUGAAAUGUGUCUUUAUUGCAUUUUCACAAAUAGAAUAAAGGUUUCACAAAUCAGAGACUGUGUUUUUAUGAAUCUUCAGGGUCUGUACAUCAAUCCAGUCCAGAUUUGAGAGGUCUAGGUGCAGUGGUUUUGGAUCUGGACCUGGUCUAAUGCGGUCUUGGUGUAAAACAAAAACGGUGAAAUCUCCCCUUUAGCAUUUUCACAAAUAAAAUAA
Dicentrarchus labrax (European seabass) is the source of this 223-nucleotide long non-coding RNA. RefSeq lists it as uncharacterized. The transcript is spliced from 3 exons. Lineage: Eukaryota; Metazoa; Chordata; Actinopteri; Moronidae. The record is from RefSeq and is a predicted model, not a curated record.